Molecule: ribosomal RNA, 2215 nt
Filed under: Mesorhizobium sp.
Lineage: Bacteria; Pseudomonadati; Pseudomonadota; Alphaproteobacteria; Hyphomicrobiales; Phyllobacteriaceae
Description: partial 23S ribosomal RNA
Rfam family: Bacterial large subunit ribosomal RNA
Source: RNAcentral
UGACCACGUACCUUUUGUAUAAUGGGUCAGCGACUUAGUGUGACGAGCAAGCUUAAACCGGUAGGUGUAGGCGCAGCGAAAGCGAGUCUGAACAGGGCGUUCAGUUCGUCGCAUUAGACCCGAAACCGAGUGAUCUAGCCAUGAGCAGGUUGAAGGUAAGGUAACACUUACUGGAGGACCGAACCCAUAACUGUUGCAAUAGUUCGGGAUGACUUGUGGCUAGGGGUGAAAGGCCAAUCAAACUCGGAAAUAGCUGGUUCUCCGCGAAAUCUAUUUAGGUAGAGCGUCGACCGAAUACCCCAGGGGGUAGAGCACUGGAUGGGCUAGGGGUCCUCACCGGAUUACCAAACCUAACCAAACUCCGAAUACCUGGGAGUACUAGUCGGCAGACACACGGCGGGUGCUAACGUCCGUCGUGAAAAGGGAAACAACCCUGACCUACAGCUAAGGUCCCCAAGUUAUGGCUAAGUGGGAAAGGAUGUGAGGAUCCCAAAACAACCAGGAUGUUGGCUUAGAAGCAGCCAUCAUUUAAAGAAAGCGUAACAGCUCACUGGUCUAAAUAAGGGUCUUUGCGCCGAAAAUGUAACGGGGCUAAAGCCAUACACCGAAGCUUAGGGUUCGUGAGCAAUCACGAGCGGUAGCGGAGCGUUCUGUAAGCUGAUGAAGCCGUACCCGUGAGGGGCGGUGGAGGUAUCAGAAGUGCGAAUGCUGACAUGAGUAACGUAAGGGGAGUGAGAGACUCCCCCGCCGAAAGACCAAGGGUUCCUGCUUAAAGUUAAUCUGAGCAGGGUUAGCCGGCCCCUAAGACGAGGCGGAAACGCGUAGUCGAUGGGAACCACGUUAAUAUUCGUGGGCCUGGAGGUAGUGACGGAUCACACAAGUUGUCCAAUCUUAUCGGAUUGAACGGGCAGCGGAGUGGUUCCAGGAAAUAGCUCCUCCUUAUAGACCGUACCCGAAACCGACACUGGUGGUCAGGUAGAGUAUACCAAGGCGCUUGAGAGAACUAUGCUGAAGGAACUCGGCAAAUUGCACGCGUAACUUCGGAAGAAGCGUGACCCUUUUCUACGCAAGUGGAGGAGGGUGGCACAGACCAGGGGGUAGCGACUGUUUAUCAAAAACACAGGGCUCUGCGAAGCCGCAAGGCGACGUAUAGGGUCUGACGCCUGCCCGGUGCUGGAAGGUUAAGAGGAGGGGUGCAAGCUCUGAAUCGAAGCCCCAGUAAACGGCGGCCGUAACUAUAACGGUCCUAAGGUAGCGAAAUUCCUUGUCGGGUAAGUUCCGACCUGCACGAAUGGCGUAACGACUUCCCCGCUGUCUCCAGCAUAGACUCAGUGAAAUUGAAUUCCCCGUGAAGAUGCGGGGUUCCUGCGGUUAGACGGAAAGACCCCGUGCACCUUUACUAUAGCUUUACAUUGGCAUUCGUAGUGGCAUGUGUAGGAUAGGUGGUAGGCUUUGAAGCCUGGGCGCCAGCUCAGGUGGAGCCACCCUUGAAAUACCACCCUUAUUACUAUGGAUGUCUAACCGCGGCCCGUUAUCCGGGUCCGGGACAAUGUAUGGUGGGUAGUUUGACUGGGGCGGUCGCCUCCUAAAGAGUAACGGAGGCGCGCGAUGGUGGGCUCAGAACGGUCGGAAAUCGUUCGCUGAGUGCAAUGGCAUAAGCCUGCCUGACUGCGAGACUGACAAGUCGAGCAGAGACGAAAGUCGGUCAUAGUGAUCCGGUGGUCCCGCGUGGAAGGGCCAUCGCUCAACGGAUAAAAGGUACGCCGGGGAUAACAGGCUGAUGACCCCCAAGAGUCCAUAUCGACGGGGUUGUUUGGCACCUCGAUGUCGACUCAUCGCAUCCUGGGGCUGGAGCAGGUCCCAAGGGUAUGGCUGUUCGCCAUUUAAAGCGGUACGUGAGUUGGGUUCAGAACGUCGUGAGACAGUUCGGUCCCUAUCUGCCGUGGGUGUAGGAAUAUUGAAAGGAUCUGUCCCUAGUACGAGAGGACCGGGAUGGACGGAUCUCUGGUGGACCUGUUGUGGCGCCAGCCGCAUCGCAGGGUAGCUAUAUCCGGACGGGAUAACCGCUGAAGGCAUCUAAGCGGGAAACCCACCUUGAAACGAGUAUUCCCUGAGAACCGUGGAAGACGACCACGUUGAUAGGCCGGGUGUGGAAGAGCGGCAACGCUUGAAGCUUACCGGUACUAAUAGUUCGAUAGGCUUGAUCGUUCUCAUU